AUUAUAUGAACUAAACUAUCACUGUGGUAUAUUUGAAUACUGUAUAUUUUGAAGCGUACCAACAACGCUAGCAAGUUCAGUGCUAUUUUACGAGUGAGACCAGUAGCGAAAGAAUGAUUUUGUUUCAUGAGAAGUAGUACCUGAACGCGGCCUGACUUGUGACAACCGCUGUCACUGGUACCAAACUUCCAAAGUAUAAACAAAACAUAUCCUAGCAGUGCACUACAUUUUCGUAUAGUCCAGCCAUUCAUGCAGGUGGAUUCAUAAUUUAUUGUUUGACAUUCUCUACCCAUAACUUAGGAAGAAGUGGCCCAUCUUUAUCAGUGUAUCAACAAGCUUAAGGUACCUAUAAGCUGUUUUGCAACAACAAAUGACAUUUUAAAAAGUGGUGAUGAAACGACCAAGGAUUUUAUUGAAUGUAUAUUUCUUAGGAAAGUUGGCACUAGCAAUUGUUGGAGUUUUUGUGUACUGUGAAUUCCUUCAUUAUUAUGUUGUUAUUGGUCAGUGUGAUUGGCCUGUGUUAAAUCCCAAUUCUGCUGACAAAAGCAUAGAGGAUAAUGGUAAUCAACUGCAUGUAAUGAUACUGGCAGACACUCAUUUAUUAGGAAGAAGAAAUGGACACUGGUUUGAUAAACUC
Molecule: long non-coding RNA, 637 nt
Organism: Macrobrachium nipponense
Lineage: Eukaryota; Metazoa; Arthropoda; Malacostraca; Decapoda; Palaemonidae
Exons: 3
Source: RefSeq, a predicted model, not a curated record